This 428-nucleotide ribosomal RNA is filed under the name uncultured bacterium. RNAcentral describes it as "bacterial SSU rRNA". It matches the Rfam family "Bacterial small subunit ribosomal RNA", at positions 355 to 775 of the family's 1533-position model. The record is from RNAcentral.
UCGAGGAUCUUUCGCAAUGGGCGCAAGCCUGACGGAGCGACGCCGUGUGAGUGAUGAAGGCCUUCGGGUUGUAAAGCUCUUUCGCCUGGGAACAAGAGAAGACCGUAAAUAGCGGUCUAAUUUGAGUGUACCAGGUAAAGAAGCACCGGCUAACUACGUGCCAGCAGCUGCGGUAAUACGUAGGGUGCAAGCAUUAAUCGGAAUUAUUGGGCGUAAAGGGCGCGUAGGCGGAUCUGUAAGUCAGGUGUGAAAUUCCGGGGCUCAACCUCGGAGCUGCACUUGAAACUGUAGAUCUAGAGGGUUGGCGGAGAAAACGGAAUUCCACGUGUAGCGGUGAAAUGCGUAGAUAUGUGGAAGAACACCGGUGGCGAAGGCGGUUUUCUAGCUAAUACCUGACGCUGAGGCGCGAGAGCAAGGGGAUCAAACAG